This 385-nucleotide ribosomal RNA is filed under the name uncultured Katablepharidophyta. Its description in RNAcentral is "partial small subunit ribosomal RNA". It matches the Rfam family "Eukaryotic small subunit ribosomal RNA", at positions 30 to 432 of the family's 1831-position model. The record is from RNAcentral. Lineage: Eukaryota; Cryptophyceae; Kathablepharidacea.
GCUUGUCUCAAAGAUUAAGCCAUGCAUGUCUAAGUAUAAACAAAUCUAUACUGUGAAACUGCGAAUGGCUCAUUAUAUCAGUUAUAGUUUAUUUGAUGGUUCUUGCUACUUGGAUAACCGUAGUAAUUCUAGAGCUAAUACAUGCACAAAAUCCCGACUUACGAAGGGAUGUAUUUAUUAGAUACAAACCAACAUCGUGGUGAUUCAUAAUAACUUUGCGAAUCGUAUGCCUCACGGCGACGAUGAAUCAUUCAAAUUUCUGCCCUAUCAAUUGGCGAUGGUAGGAUAGAGGCCUACCAUGGUGUUAACGGGUGACGGGGGAUUAGGGUUCGAUUCCGGAGAGGCAGCCUGAGAAACGGCUACCACAUCCAAGGAAGGCAGCAGG